Molecule: ribosomal RNA, 444 nt
Filed under: uncultured Anaerolineaceae bacterium
Lineage: Bacteria; Bacillati; Chloroflexota; Anaerolineae; Anaerolineales; Anaerolineaceae
Description: bacterial SSU rRNA
Rfam family: Bacterial small subunit ribosomal RNA
Source: RNAcentral
GCACAAGCAGCGGAGCGUGUGGUUUAAUUCGUUGCUACACGAAGAACUUACCUGGGUUUGACAUAUAGGUUGUAGGGAACUGAAAAGGGACCGACCUUCGGGGAGCCUAUACAGGUGUUGCAUGGCUGUCGUCAGCUCGUGUCGUGAGAUGUUCGGUUAAGUCCGCUAACGAGCGCAACCCUCGUCGUAUGUUAUAUGUGUCAUACGAGACUGCCGGUAAAAAGCCGGAGGAAGGUGAGGAUGAUGUCAAGUCAGCAUGACCUUUAUAUCCAGGGCUACACACACGCUACAAUGGUCUGUACAAUGGGUAGCCAAGCCGCGAGGCGGAGCCAAUCCUGAAAGCAGGCCUCAGUUCAGAUUGCAGUCUGCAACUCGACUGCAUGAAGCCGGAGUUGCUAGUAACCGCAGGUCAGCAAUACUGCGGUGAAUACGUUCCCGGGUCUU